UUAAGUGAUGAUAGCCUAGGAGAUACACCUGUUCCCAUGCCGAACACAGAAGUUAAGCCCUAGUACGCCUGAUGUAGUUGGGGGUUGCCCCCUGUUAGAUACGGUAGUCGCUUAGC
Molecule: ribosomal RNA, 116 nt
Filed under: Streptococcus salivarius
Lineage: Bacteria; Bacillati; Bacillota; Bacilli; Lactobacillales; Streptococcaceae
Also listed under: 3 other names
Source: RNAcentral